AGUGAACGCUGGCGGUAGGCCUAACACAUGCAAGUCGAACGGCAGCACAGUAAGAGCUUGCUCUUACGGGUGGCGAGUGGCGGACGGGUGAGGAAUACAUCGGAAUCUACUUUUCGUGGGGGAUAACGUAGGGAAACUUACGCUCAUACCGCAUACGACCUACGGGUGAAAGCAGUGGAUCUUCGGACCUUGCGCGGUUGAAUGAGCCGAUGUCGGAUUAGAUAGUUGGCGGGGUAAAGGCCCACCAAGGCGACGAUCCGUAGCUGGUCUGAGAGGAUGAUCAGCCACACUGGAACUGAGACACGGUCCAGACGCCUACGGGAGGCAGCAGUGGGGAAUAUUGGACAAUGGGCGCAAGCCUGAUCCAGCCAUACCGCGUGGGUGAAGAAGGCCUUCGGGUUGUAAAGCCCUUUUGUUGGGAAAGAAAAGCAGCAGGUUAAUACCCCGCUGUUCUGACGGUACCCAAAGAAUAAGCACCGGCUAACUUCGUG
This 491-nucleotide ribosomal RNA is filed under the name uncultured bacterium. RNAcentral describes it as "partial 16S ribosomal RNA". It matches the Rfam family "Bacterial small subunit ribosomal RNA", at positions 29 to 507 of the family's 1533-position model. The record is from RNAcentral.